Molecule: ribosomal RNA, 466 nt
Filed under: uncultured bacterium
Lineage: Bacteria
Description: partial 16S ribosomal RNA
Rfam family: Bacterial small subunit ribosomal RNA
Source: RNAcentral
CCUACGGGAGGCAGCAGUGGGGAAUAUUGCGCAAUGGGCGAAAGCCUGGCGCAGCGACGCCGCGUGAGGGAUGAAGGUCUUCGGAUCGUAAACCUCUGUCAGGAGGGAAGAAGUGGUUAUAUGCGAAUAGUGUAUGACUUUGACGGUACCUCCAAAGGAAGCACCGGCUAACUCCGUGCCAGCAGCCGCGGUAAUACGGAGGGUGCGAGCGUUAAUCGGAAUCACUGGGCGUAAAGCGCGCGUAGGCGGCUUUUCAAGUCAGGGGUGAAAUCCCACGGCCCAACCGUGGAACUGCCUUUGAAACUGGCAAACGGGAGUGUGUGAGAGGAUAGUGGAAUUCCAGGUGUAGGAGUGAAAUCCGUAGAUAUCUGGAGGAACAUCAGUGGCGAAGGCGACUAUCUGGCACAUAACUGACGCUGAGGAGCGAAAGCGUGGGUAGCAAACAGGAUUAGAUACCCGAGUAGUC